RNAcentral lists this ribosomal RNA (753 nucleotides) under uncultured bacterium. Its description in RNAcentral is "bacterial SSU rRNA". It matches the Rfam family "Bacterial small subunit ribosomal RNA", at positions 8 to 796 of the family's 1533-position model. The record is from RNAcentral.
AGAGUUUGAUCAUGGCUCAGGAUAAACGCUGGCGGCGUGCCUAACACAUGCAAGUCGAGCGGUAAGGCCUCUUCGGAGGUACACGAGCGGCGGACGGGUGAGUAACGCGUGGGAAUCUACCCUAAACUGAGGGAUAAGCACCGGAAACGGUGUCUAAUACCGCAUAUGGUCUUCGGAUUAAAGCUUCGGCGGUUUAGGAAGAGCCCGCGUAAGAUUAGCUAGUUGGUAAGGUAAUGGCUUACCAAGGCGACAAUCUUUAGCUGGUUUGAGAGGAUGAUCAGCCACACUGGAACUGAGACACGGUCCAGACUCCUACGGGAGGCAGCAGUGAGGAAUUUUCCACAAUGGGGGCAACCCUGAUGGAGCAACGCCGCGUGCAGGAUGAAGGUUUUCGGAUUGUAAACUGCUUUUAUACGUGACGAAUAUGACGGUAGCGUAUGAAUAAGGAUCGGCUAACUCCGUGCCAGCAGCCGCGGUCAUACGGAGGAUCCAAGCGUUAUCCGGAUUUACUGGGCGUAAAGAGUUGCGUAGGUGGUUUGCCAAGUUUCCGUUUAAAUGCCAAGGCUCAACCUUGGAAGUGACGGAAAAACUGGCAAACUCGAGAAUGAGAGAGGUCACUGGAAUUUCUUGUGUAGGAGUGAAAUCCGUAGAUAUAAGAAGGAACACCGAUGGCGUAGGCAGGUGACUGGCUCAUUUCUGACACUGAGGCACGAAAGCGUGGGGAGCGAACGGGAUUAGAUACCCUAGUAGUCC